This 462-nucleotide ribosomal RNA is filed under the name uncultured bacterium. RNAcentral's name for it is "partial 16S ribosomal RNA". It matches the Rfam family "Bacterial small subunit ribosomal RNA", at positions 28 to 507 of the family's 1533-position model. The record is from RNAcentral.
GAUGAACGCUGACAGAAUGCUUAACACAUGCAAGUCUUUGGCGAAGCUGUGCUUGCACAGCCUAGCCAAGGCGGACGGGUGAGUAACGCGUAAGGAACUUGCCCUGCAGUCAGGGAUAACAGACGGAAACGACUGAUAAGACCUGGUAAAGUCAGGCGGACUCAUGUCCAGCCUGAUGAAAAGAGAUGCUGCAGGAGAGCCUUGCGUCCUAUUAGCUUGUUGGUGGGGUAACGGCCCACCAAGGCGAUGAUAGGUAGCCGGCCUGAGAGGGUGGACGGCCACAAGGGGACGGAGAUACGGCCCUUACUCCUACGGGAGGCAGCAGUGGGGAAUAUUGGACAAUGGGGGCAAGCCUGAUCCAGCAAUUCUGUGUGCACGAUGAAGGUUUUCGGAUUGUAAAGUGCUUUCAGCAGGGAAGAAAAAAUGACGGUACCUGCAGAAGAAGCGACGGCUAAAUACGUG